GAUAUGAUUUUAAAUUGGGUAAUCAAGGGAAAAAAUCAUUGAAUAUGACACUUAACAAAGAUCUGAAGGUGUGAGAGGGUUAGCAAUGCACAUAUUUUGAGGACAAGUAUAUCAGAGGCCAGCAGGGAGGUGGGCCAUAGUAAGAACUUUAGCUUUUACUCUGAGUGACAUGGAGAGCUACUUAAGGAUUUAAAGCAGACCCUGAUCCAUUCUGACUUAUCUUGUAUGUAGAUCAUUCUCGCUGGUGUGCUGAAAAUAGACUGUAGGGGACAAGGGUGGAAGCAGGGAAACCAUUUAGGAGAUAGGAAUAUAGGUGAAAGAUUACAGUAGACAGACCAAAUGGUCAGAGCACGUUUUAGAGAAAAUAUCAGACAUUUGGUGUUGAAUAUUUUCCAUUUGACUUGUUUAUUAGAUAGAUCCAAGCAGAGAAAGCAAGUAGAUUGUUAAGAGUUCUCCAGAUCAAUUUGUCUCUGCCCUAGUGGAGCUUACACUCCACCAGAAUGUGGGUAGUAAAUACAAUGAAUAAAACAAAUGGGUAAGACAUAUACUAUGUUAGAAGAUGAGUCUUAUGGAGAAAAUUCAAGUAAGGAAAGAGGAAUGAGUGAUGUUGGGUGACUGACUUCCUGAGAAGAUAACAGUUGGGUUAUGAUAGGAAGGUAGUGAAGAAAUAAAUCAUAGAUACCUGGGAGAACAAUAGUUUAGGUGGAAGGGACCAAAUGUAAAGAUUUCAAGAUGGGAGCAUGGCUGGUAUGAGAAGAACAAGGAGGUGAAAUAUGGCUGGAGUGACAUGAGUGAGGGAAAGGGGAUUAGCGAUGACAGCGCCAAAGUGACAACUGUCUGGGUUAUAGGCCUUUUUAAGGGCUCUGGCUUUUACCUUGUGUGAGAGGGGAAACUAGUGGAUAGUUUAGCAGGAGAGAGGCAUGGUCUGACCUGUGGUUUAACCAAGUCACUCUAGUUGUUGUGCUAAAUAGACUGAGGGGCAAAGGUGAAAGCAGGGAGGUUGGUUACACUAAUCCAGGUAGCAGUGGAGAGAGUGAGGAAUGAUCACAUCCUGGAUUAUUUGAGGGUUAAGUUGACAAAUUGGCCUAGCGAUUGCAAGUGGGAUGAGAAAUGAGUAGCGUCAAGAAUGAUUCCAAGGUUUUUGACCUGAACAAUUGGAAGGAUAGAGUUGCAGGGGUUAAGAUGGGAAAGACUACAAAGAACAGGUGUGCUAGAGGCGAUCAGGAGCUCAGUUUUGGACAUGUUAACUUUAUGAUGCCUUUUGGACAUCCAGAUAGGUGUUCAGUAGGCCUUUUUGUUAUGAAUACUGUUUUUUUUUCAAGUGAUUUAAUUGUAUUAAAGCAGUGUGCUCACUGUUCUGAAAAUAUAUUACAUUCGUUAAUAUCUUUAACAUGUUCAAUCCUGGCAAAACUUGAAUAUUUUGGAGAGAGAAAUUGUUUGACUGCUUUUUGGCUUUGUCCUAUUACUGCUGGAUUGUGCAAGAUAUUUAACACUCUUUUCUUUGAGGUAUGACUUAAAUAUCAAACAUCUUAAAUAAGAAAAGGGAAACAUUUUAGUUGUGGAAGUCAGAAUGCCAAGGAGAAGGAAAAAUCUUGGGGGAAAUCCUUUUCGGAAGACUGCAAACUCUAAGGAAGUUGUAUCCAGUGUUGCUAGUCAUGAGGAGCCAACCACUACUCUUCCUUCCAUGUAUGAGACAAAAGUUGAUCAGGAAGAACUCUUCACCAGUAUCUCAGAGAUGUUUUCUGAUCUGGAUCCUGAUGUAGUGUAUUUGAUGCUUUCUGAAUGUGAUUUCAAAGGUGAGAAAAAGUUUAGUUUGAACCCUUUACAUCUUAUAAGGAGAUUUCAAGUACUAUGCCGUGACCAGUAGUAAUAUAGAAUAUACCUUAUUUCUAUUUUAUUCAUCAUUUUUUGAGUAUCUGCUAUGGGCAAAGUACUAAGUUUGGUAUUAUGAGGGAUAUGAAGAAGAAUAAAGCAUAGUUUCUGCUUUUAAGAAAUGUACAGUUCUAGAUGUAAGAUAUAUGAAGAUAUCAUAUUCUUUGUUUUAUUUCUUUUUAUCUUCCCUCUAGAACAGGUUGGCACUAUUGACGUUUUGACCGGAUAAUUCUGUUGUGAGUAGCUUUCCUGUGCAUUGUAGGAUGUUCAACAACGUCUCUGGCGUGUACCCACUAAAUGCCAGUAGCAUAUUCCUCCCCCUCAUCCCAGUGUGACAGUUAAAAAUGCCUCUGUAUAUCUUGUGUCCCCUGGGGGGCAAAAUCAUUCUCAGUUGAGAACACUUGACCUAGAAAUAUAAGCUCCAUAAUGACAGGGAUUUAAAAAACUGUUUGGUUUUACUGCUGCAUCUCUAGCCACCUACCCUCUCAAAUAGCAAAUGAUCAUCAUAGGAUCUCAGUAAAUAUUUGACUGAAAAGGUAAUUGUAACUGUGAAAAUGAGAGCCAAUUAAGAGUAGAGUGGUUUCGAGUUGCUGUGGCUGUAGUGCAGGCCAGCAGCUGUAGCUCCGAUUCAACCCCUAGCCUGGGAACGUCCAUAUACUGCAGGCGCGGCCCUAAAACAAC
RNAcentral lists this long non-coding RNA (2553 nucleotides) under Sus scrofa (pig). RNAcentral's name for it is "lncRNA (ENSSSCG00005004132.1)". Lineage: Eukaryota; Metazoa; Chordata; Mammalia; Artiodactyla; Suidae. The record is from RNAcentral.